AUUGAACGCUGGCGGAAUGCUUUACACAUGCAAGUCGAGCGGCAGCGCGGGGGCAACCCUGGCGGCGAGCGGCGAACGGGUGAGUAACAUAUCGGAACGUACCCCGUCGUGGGGGAUAACACAGCGAAAGCUGUGCUAAUACCGCAUACGACCUGAGGGUGAAAGCGGGGGAUCGCAAGACCUCGCGCGAUGGGAGCGGCCGAUAUCGGAUUAGCUUGUUGGUGAGGUAAAGGCUCACCAAGGCGACGAUCCGUAGCUGGUCUGAGAGGACGACCAGCCACACUGGAACUGAGACACGGUCCAGACUCCUACGGGAGGCAGCAGUGGGGAAUUUUGGACAAUGGGGGCAACCCUGAUCCAGCCAUUCCGCGUGAGUGAAGAAGGCCUUCGGUUGUAAAGCUCUUUCAGCAGGAACGAAACGGUAGG
This 426-nucleotide ribosomal RNA is filed under the name uncultured bacterium. RNAcentral describes it as "bacterial SSU rRNA". It matches the Rfam family "Bacterial small subunit ribosomal RNA", at positions 29 to 457 of the family's 1533-position model. The record is from RNAcentral.